This 2905-nucleotide ribosomal RNA is filed under the name Escherichia coli. RNAcentral describes it as "23S ribosomal RNA". It matches the Rfam family "Bacterial large subunit ribosomal RNA". The record is from RNAcentral. Lineage: Bacteria; Pseudomonadati; Pseudomonadota; Gammaproteobacteria; Enterobacterales; Enterobacteriaceae.
GGUUAAGCGACUAAGCGUACACGGUGGAUGCCCUGGCAGUCAGAGGCGAUGAAGGACGUGCUAAUCUGCGAUAAGCGUCGGUAAGGUGAUAUGAACCGUUAUAACCGGCGAUUUCCGAAUGGGGAAACCCAGUGUGAUUCGUCACACUAUCAUUAACUGAAUCCAUAGGUUAAUGAGGCGAACCGGGGGAACUGAAACAUCUAAGUACCCCGAGGAAAAGAAAUCAACCGAGAUUCCCCCAGUAGCGGCGAGCGAACGGGGAGGAGCCCAGAGCCUGAAUCAGUGUGUGUGUUAGUGGAAGCGUCUGGAAAGGCGCGCGAUACAGGGUGACAGCCCCGUACACAAAAAUGCACAUGCUGUGAGCUCGAUGAGUAGGGCGGGACACGUGGUAUCCUGUCUGAAUAUGGGGGGACCAUCCUCCAAGGCUAAAUACUCCUGACUGACCGAUAGUGAACCAGUACCGUGAGGGAAAGGCGAAAAGAACCCCGGCGAGGGGAGUGAAAAAGAACCUGAAACCGUGUACGUACAAGCAGUGGGAGCACGCUUCGGCGUGUGACUGCGUACCUUUUGUAUAAUGGGUCAGCGACUUAUAUUCUGUAGCAAGGUUAACCGAAUAGGGGAGCCGAAGGGAAACCGAGUCUUAACUGGGCGUUAAGUUGCAGGGUAUAGACCCGAAACCCGGUGAUCUAGCCAUGGGCAGGUUGAAGGUUGGGUAACACUAACUGGAGGACCGAACCGACUAAUGUUGAAAAAUUAGCGGAUGACUUGUGGCUGGGGGUGAAAGGCCAAUCAAACCGGGAGAUAGCUGGUUCUCCCCGAAAGCUAUUUAGGUAGCGCCUCGUGAAUUCAUCUCCGGGGGUAGAGCACUGUUUCGGCAAGGGGGUCAUCCCGACUUACCAACCCGAUGCAAACUGCGAAUACCGGAGAAUGUUAUCACGGGAGACACACGGCGGGUGCUAACGUCCGUCGUGAAGAGGGAAACAACCCAGACCGCCAGCUAAGGUCCCAAAGUCAUGGUUAAGUGGGAAACGAUGUGGGAAGGCCCAGACAGCCAGGAUGUUGGCUUAGAAGCAGCCAUCAUUUAAAGAAAGCGUAAUAGCUCACUGGUCGAGUCGGCCUGCGCGGAAGAUGUAACGGGGCUAAACCAUGCACCGAAGCUGCGGCAGCGACACUAUGUGUUGUUGGGUAGGGGAGCGUUCUGUAAGCCUGUGAAGGUGUGCUGUGAGGCAUGCUGGAGGUAUCAGAAGUGCGAAUGCUGACAUAAGUAACGAUAAAGCGGGUGAAAAGCCCGCUCGCCGGAAGACCAAGGGUUCCUGUCCAACGUUAAUCGGGGCAGGGUGAGUCGACCCCUAAGGCGAGGCCGAAAGGCGUAGUCGAUGGGAAACAGGUUAAUAUUCCUGUACUUGGUGUUACUGCGAAGGGGGGACGGAGAAGGCUAUGUUGGCCGGGCGACGGUUGUCCCGGUUUAAGCGUGUAGGCUGGUUUUCCAGGCAAAUCCGGAAAAUCAAGGCUGAGGCGUGAUGACGAGGCACUACGGUGCUGAAGCAACAAAUGCCCUGCUUCCAGGAAAAGCCUCUAAGCAUCAGGUAACAUCAAAUCGUACCCCAAACCGACACAGGUGGUCAGGUAGAGAAUACCAAGGCGCUUGAGAGAACUCGGGUGAAGGAACUAGGCAAAAUGGUGCCGUAACUUCGGGAGAAGGCACGCUGAUAUGUAGGUGAAGUCCCUCGCGGAUGGAGCUGAAAUCAGUCGAAGAUACCAGCUGGCUGCAACUGUUUAUUAAAAACACAGCACUGUGCAAACACGAAAGUGGACGUAUACGGUGUGACGCCUGCCCGGUGCCGGAAGGUUAAUUGAUGGGGUUAGCGGUAACGCGAAGCUCUUGAUCGAAGCCCCGGUAAACGGCGGCCGUAACUAUAACGGUCCUAAGGUAGCGAAAUUCCUUGUCGGGUAAGUUCCGACCUGCACGAAUGGCGUAAUGAUGGCCAGGCUGUCUCCACCCGAGACUCAGUGAAAUUGAACUCGCUGUGAAGAUGCAGUGUACCCGCGGCAAGACGGAAAGACCCCGUGAACCUUUACUAUAGCUUGACACUGAACAUUGAGCCUUGAUGUGUAGGAUAGGUGGGAGGCUUUGAAGUGUGGACGCCAGUCUGCAUGGAGCCGACCUUGAAAUACCACCCUUUAAUGUUUGAUGUUCUAACGUUGACCCGUAAUCCGGGUUGCGGACAGUGUCUGGUGGGUAGUUUGACUGGGGCGGUCUCCUCCUAAAGAGUAACGGAGGAGCACGAAGGUUGGCUAAUCCUGGUCGGACAUCAGGAGGUUAGUGCAAUGGCAUAAGCCAGCUUGACUGCGAGCGUGACGGCGCGAGCAGGUGCGAAAGCAGGUCAUAGUGAUCCGGUGGUUCUGAAUGGAAGGGCCAUCGCUCAACGGAUAAAAGGUACUCCGGGGAUAACAGGCUGAUACCGCCCAAGAGUUCAUAUCGACGGCGGUGUUUGGCACCUCGAUGUCGGCUCAUCACAUCCUGGGGCUGAAGUAGGUCCCAAGGGUAUGGCUGUUCGCCAUUUAAAGUGGUACGCGAGCUGGGUUUAGAACGUCGUGAGACAGUUCGGUCCCUAUCUGCCGUGGGCGCUGGAGAACUGAGGGGGGCUGCUCCUAGUACGAGAGGACCGGAGUGGACGCAUCACUGGUGUUCGGGUUGUCAUGCCAAUGGCACUGCCCGGUAGCUAAAUGCGGAAGAGAUAAGUGCUGAAAGCAUCUAAGCACGAAACUUGCCCCGAGAUGAGUUCUCCCUGACCCUUUAAGGGUCCUGAAGGAACGUUGAAGACGACGACGUUGAUAGGCCGGGUGUGUAAGCGCAGCGAUGCGUUGAGCUAACCGGUACUAAUGAACCGUGAGGCUUAACCUU